CUUCCCUUGGUGUAGGGGUAACGCGCCCUAUCUAAUGAACAGGGAGUCGUGAGUUUGAUUCUCACUGAGAAGA
Aedes aegypti (yellow fever mosquito) is the source of this 73-nucleotide non-coding RNA. NCBI's taxonomy places the organism in Eukaryota, Metazoa, Arthropoda, Insecta, Diptera, Culicidae. The record is from Rfam.